AUUAUAGGAAUAUUUCUAUUUGCUACGUCCACGAGAAAGUCGUGUAUACAUCAGCGGUCUGGUAACUUCCAUGGUAGGGAUAAGGCUUUAAUGCAAUAGUAGAGGAGAAAUGAGAGAGUUCACACGCACAAUACAGAUAUUGCACCACGCGGUCAAGUGCCGAAGGUAUCCCAUGCUAAUCUAUACAAGAAUUUACAAAGUUAGAUAUCUGCCUUGUUUGGUUCCACGUUACAAGAACCUAUUUCAUUGUACAAUUCUGCGGAAUACUUUUCUAUUCAAUAUAAACAAGUAUGAGAAUAACAAAAUCGCGCAAUAAUUAAACCUAGUUGUUAAUUUUUCAGUAUGUGGCGGAGGAAGGGGCAUGAGUUUGAACAAUUUUUUUCUAUACACGUGUGUAACCGGCGGUUUCUCUUACUUUCCGAGAUACGAAAAUAUGCAAUAAUUGCAAGGAUUUUGAAUUCAAAGUUUUGUGAUUAUGUAGAUGUAGAAACAAUUUUAUUUCUGGAAACUGAGAUCUUAGACGUGCCGAAUUUAGAAAAGGACAAUGAAAAUGAAAGAGAUAGAGAGACUGAGAGUCGAAGCGUUCGGUAACAUAAAAUGCAAUGGGAUGAUGGUUUUAUGAUACAGAGAAGCAUCGUGUAUUUCUAGUUCACUAUUCAGCAAAUUUCCUUAGCAAACCAGCCUGCAGCUCAUAUACGGCACUUAGCGAACAUUUGUUUGCUAAUAAAAUUAUUAAAAUAGUAGAUAGUAAAAUUAUUAAAACUAUUCAUUUCGGGCAUUUUGUAAUGCUAGCUCUUGACUUGCGGGAGUCACCCUGUUACCAACCCGCCGUUUACCAGCGAUUAACUCCCUUACUCUAGUUCAAGAGUAUACAGCGCUACAGACGCGAUUUAUAAUUAGAUUUAUUAGUCAGCACACCAUGUGCAAACGCCAACCAACCCCAAACGAUCACAACAUUUGAUCAACCACGGGGAAUAAACAGUGAUGAAUGAAAUUCAUACCAAUAUACUUAUUACAUUUUUUUAAAUAAAAUGGGACCAAAUACGAUAUAAUUUGGAACAUAUUUGCUUAUUUAAUAAAUGAUAAUUAAAUACAUAUCAAUAAGUAACUGUAAUUCAAAAUAUAUCGUAUUUGAUCUCAUUUUAUUCAGAAAGCUCUCUCAAAUAUGUUAGUAAAAAUUUAAUUUAGAAAGAGUUAAAAAUAAAAAAAUUUCAUUUUUGAAUGAGUACCUACAUACAUUGUCUCAGCGAUAUUUGACAUUGAAUUAUGUUAUAUUACUCAACUACGACGGGUCGUCGAACUUCACGAAGCAUAGAGAGGCAUCUCUCCCCUGUGAAGGGGAUGUCGACCAUGCAAUUAGCGAGAGAUUCUUUUUCUGCAGAUAUAUCACGUCAGAAAUAUUAUUUGCAGUCUAUCUAUUGCAGUAAACUAUUGAAAUUACUAAUAAAAUGAAAUUUAGAUUUUAUUAUAACAAAAACAUUAUCGCGAGGAAAGUAAAUUUUGUG
RNA transcript from Bombus impatiens (common eastern bumble bee), 1505 nucleotides. RefSeq lists it as uncharacterized. The record is from RefSeq and is a predicted model, not a curated record. Lineage: Eukaryota; Metazoa; Arthropoda; Insecta; Hymenoptera; Apidae. The transcript is spliced from 2 exons.